CAGAGUGUUAGAUUCAGAGUGCAAGAGAAUGAGGCAGAGGGAUAGAAAGAGAUGCAACUUUUCUACAAGAAAGCUUGCCAGAAACUGACAAUGAGUUCUGAAGUUGUACACUUCUCCCUGUCCACUAGGUGACCGUUAAGAAGGGAACUGCUCCAUUACACAGGGGUGCAGAGAACUGGGCCAAUGGUAAUCCCAUCCCUAGAAUGUUGCCAAACAUAAAAUUAAAACACAUAUUCCUUUCUUUUUUAGGGGAACAAGAUGCAAAAACUUGCAUAUAAUAAAUAUAUGGGUAACCAUUGCUUCUGUAGAAAAGAUAAAAACAAAUGGAGACACAUAAGGGAACAGAAGCAACAGUCAAGUGGCUAAUGAUCUGGAUUAAUGCUUUAAUCCCAUACUCUUAGAAAAUAAUAAUAAGUUUGUGAAUCAAAUUUUAAGCAUGAUGCCAAAAUUAAACAUAAGGAAAAAUAUUAAUAUAGAUUUAAUGACAUAAAUAAUUCUGAAUGUUGAAAAUUAAAAACAACUUUAAAAGACAAAAGGCAUACUGGGGAAGACAUUUUUAAUACAUGGUAGACAAGGCUUAAUAUCUUUACCAAAAAAGUGCUUAUAAAAAUAAAUCAGACUAGACAAAUACAUUAAUAGGGAUGCACAAAUUUCACGAAUAAGCAGAGCACCAGGAAAAAUAAAAAAUGGCCAAGAAAUAUAUAGAAGAAAGAUGCCUAAUCUAAUAGUAAAAGAAAAUGAAAAAAAAGACAACCUUUUAUCAAAUAAAAUUGGAAAUGUUGAUAAAUUAUAACAUCUAAUAUUCUUGAGGAUUCAUGCAUGUAGUGUCAAUAAUCUUUUUUUUUUUUUUUUUUUUUUUUUUGAGACGGAGUUUCACUCUUGUUGCCCAGGCUGGAGUGCAAUGGCGCGAUCUUGGCUCACCACAACCUCUGCCUCCCAGUUUAGCUAUUUUUAGAGGAUCAAGUGAUUCUCCUGCCUCAGCCUCCCAAGUAGCUGGGAUUACAGACAUGCACCACCAUGCCCGGUUAAUUUUGUAUUUUUAGUAGAGACUGGGUUUCUCCAUGUUGGUCAGGCUGGUCUCAAACUCCCAACCUCAGGUGAUCCACCCGUCUUGGCCUCCCAAAGUGCUGGGAUUACAGGCAUGAGCACCGUGCCUGGCUUUUUUUUUUUUUUUUUUUUUGAGAUAGGGUCUUCCUCUGUUGCCUGGGCUGGUGUGCAGUGGUGCAAUCGUCACUCACUACAGCCUUGACCUCCUGGGCUCAAGUGAUCCUCCUGCCUCAGCCUCCCGAGUAGCUAGGACUACAGGUGCAUGUCAUCAUAUCCAGUUAAUUUUUUAAAAAAUUUUUUUAGAGGUGGGGUCUCUGUAUAUUGCCUAGGCUGGUCUUGAACUCCUGGGUUCAAGGGAUCCUCCUACCUCAACCUCCCAAAGUGCUGAGUAAGAUUAUAAAUGUGAGCCACUGCGCCCGGCAUAAUGUUUGAUCUAGUAUUCCAAAUCUUUAAAUUUGUGCAUAUCCUUUGACAUAGAAAUUCCUCUUGUAGGAAUUAAUUCCAAAGAAAAAAAUCAUAAAUAUGUACAAAUUUUUCCUGAGAAGGAUGUUUUUGCAUUUUAAGCACAACACUGAAAAGGAAGGAAUCACCUAAAUAUUAAAAUUGGUUAAAUAAAUUUUGGUAUAAAUAUAUUAUGCAAUCAUCAAUCAUUGUAUUGAGGAAGCAUAUUUAAUAGCAAAGGAAGAGAAUCACUCUUUACUGUGAAAACUGAAAAUGCAUGUUACAAAAAUGAUAUUAUAAUCUUAUUUAGUUUUCACGCAAAUAUAUACCAAAAAAACCCAACACUAUUCAAAGGACAGACAUCAAAUGUUCAUGAUGAUUAUCUGUCUAGAGUGAAACUGAGU
Molecule: long non-coding RNA, 1892 nt
Filed under: Homo sapiens (human)
Lineage: Eukaryota; Metazoa; Chordata; Mammalia; Primates; Hominidae
Description: HSALNT0145761
Source: RNAcentral